This is a long non-coding RNA of Capsicum annuum, 573 nucleotides long. RefSeq lists it as uncharacterized. The record is from RefSeq and is a predicted model, not a curated record. The transcript has 3 exons. Lineage: Eukaryota; Viridiplantae; Streptophyta; Magnoliopsida; Solanales; Solanaceae.
UCGAAAUAUGAGUUACUUGCGCUAAAAAGUUUAGUAAAAAUAAAGAAUUUACUAAUAAUAAAUGCAAAGUAUAGUAAGUAUAACCUACUUUACUUGUUUCCCUUUCUUCUUCUUCCUAGUGUGCAACUCAGAUCACAGGGAGGCUCGAGGAAAAUUGAGGAAGGAGAUCUGAUGUACUUUCUUGUGGAUCUUAAUUAUUCUGGAGAUCAUGAUCGCCGUAGAGCAUAAAGAUACUAUGCACACGAACCAUGAGGCAUCUCUAAGAUGCCUCCAGAGUGCAAGCUAUCCCCAUAAUCUGCACUUCAGUAGGACUGCGGUCAAAGUCUUAGGGGAGCCUAGUGAUGGCACCUAUAUUCAUCCAGGUGGGGAUAGCUUGGACUGUACAUUGAGUGGUGAGCCAAUUGAGUCUUCAAAAGAAUCUCCAAGCCACACAGUCUAUCAGCAUGGAUUUGGUUUAUGGUCUGCCUUUUAUCCUAACUCAAAUAUGCAUCUGCGCUCUGUGAAUGCUGUUGAAAGCCAGGCCUAUCCAUAUUCAGUGGAUAAUCACUACCAUUAUAGCCUAUUAAACAUGUU